CAACCCCUCCAGCGUGCUGGGUCUUGGGCCUCGCCUCCGGGCGGGCCUUAAAAUCAGUGGCGGCCCUAUCAGGCCCUGAGCGUAGUAACUUCUCUCGCUACAGGGCCGCGGUAGGCGCUAGCCAGCAACCCCCCCUUCUUUCUAAU
This 146-nucleotide unclassified non-coding RNA is filed under the name Hymenoscyphus menthae. Its description in RNAcentral is "partial internal transcribed spacer 2". The record is from RNAcentral. Lineage: Eukaryota; Fungi; Ascomycota; Leotiomycetes; Helotiales; Helotiaceae.